CCUAUCCAUAACCCUGGUAACAGACCUAUCCAUAACCCUGGUAACAGACCUAUCCAUAACCCUGGUAACAGACCUAUCCAUAACCCUGGUAACAGUCAGGGUAAUGAGACAGCCGAACAGGGAAACGUCUACAUAGAUGAAUAUUCACCUGGGCUCCUAGCUAGCUGUGUUCAGGGGGUCACUGAGGAUUACAGUAGGCUAAGUGGAACACUUAUCAGGUUACUGUUGAUCAUUGGCAGUACAUUAACAUUGUGUACUCGGUCUUGUCAAUGGGACAAUAGAGAGGGUCAUUACACCUUGUUGUUGGAUUAAUACUGUAAGGGACGUAUUUCCAGUCAGACAGGUUAAAGCCUAAAGUCUCUGACUAAAAAGCUAUUUCAACUGAGAUCAUGUUUUUUUUGUUGUAAAGGACUAGGCUUUAUCUGUGUCUGGUGAAACUAUCCUAAUGUGUUUUUACAGCUGCUUGAACAAAUAGGUAUUACAUCCUUAUCAAAACUGUCACGCAUUCACAACUGAUCCAUGUCCAUCCUGAAACAGGCCUCCUGUGUGCCGUGAGCAGAUAUGAGGACAGCAGAAAGGUGUGAUUUGCAUUGGAAAUAGAGGAACAUGAUCAUGUUGGUUUUGAACAGGCCACUUUGGCUGUGUUUACAGAAGCAGUCCAAUUCUGAUAUUUUGCCCAAUUAUUGGCAAAAGAGCUGAUCAGGUUGAUCAGAAUACCAAUUAGUGGAAAAAUAUGACAAUUGGGCUGCCUGUGUAAACACAGCCUCUGACUGUCUGUCUGUGCCUACAGUAUGUACCUGGGUCCUGGGCUGCAGGGGGAGGCUCUGGAGAGCUGGCUGGCUGCUCGGGGGAAGUGGCUGCUGCAGGAGCAUCGGCUACAGGCUGGGUCUCACUCUGGGCCGCAGGGGCUGGGUCUUUGGUGUCUGCAGGAGCCUCGGCUUGGGCUGCAGCCGGAGCAGACUGGGCCUCCCCUCCUGUGGCUGCUACGGUCACUGUGUGAUCUGGGAUGGUCUCACUGUCCUCCGCAACCUUACCGUUCUCAUUAGCCGCCCCUGGCAGUGGAACACAGAACAUCAGCCACAUGCUGGGAGCUCAAGGAUUGGUCAAUCAAGCAAUCAUUUUAUCAAUAAAAUGUGAUUUAUAUAGCCCUCAACAAGAACACAAAGUUUUUUAAUUUUACCUUUAUUUAAUUAAGCAUGUCAGUUCAGGACAAAUUCUUAAUUUCAAUGACGGCCUAGGAACAGCGUGUUAACUGCUUUGUUCAGGGACAGAAAGACAGAUUUGUACUUUGUCCUAGCUACGGUUCCUAGUCCAACGCCUUAACCCCUAGGCUACCCUGCCACCACAAAGUACUUUACAGUCAUCUACAUCAAUUGAAAUAUUCAAUGUUUGAUGGACAAGCUCAACGGUUACAACAAUAGACAAUAACGGUCACACCCCUCUACCUUACUGUGAGAAGUAGGCAAUUAUAUAAUUAUAUAGCAACCAGCAGUGUUAGAACAGUGUCAUAGGGUCUGAAUGGUGUCUAUAACGUGAUGACUGGGACAUGGCUUCAGGUCAUGAUUAAGUAGCUGUGAAACUGGCAAACAAUGCUUCACCUCAUAGCAACACCAAACAAUCACAGCUCUUUCUCAGUCACCAGCCCAGCUAGUGUAACACAGUUGGUUAUGUUUCCACUUGACACUGUAGAAAUAUGUAUUUCAUGUUCAUGUAUUCCUAUUGGUUGGUUGAAUUAACAUAUCAAUGAGAUAUUAUGCCAUUGGUCAUUAUGCAGAUAGCGGGAGACCUCAAACUUAAAUUCUACCCAGUCUGAUAUUUAUUUAAUUAGGCCAGCAGCAUACCACCCUGCAUACCACCCAGCAUACCACCCUGCAUACCGCUG
Molecule: long non-coding RNA, 1882 nt
Organism: Oncorhynchus tshawytscha (Chinook salmon)
Lineage: Eukaryota; Metazoa; Chordata; Actinopteri; Salmoniformes; Salmonidae
Source: Ensembl